This 1929-nucleotide ribosomal RNA is filed under the name metagenome. Its description in RNAcentral is "bacterial LSU rRNA". It matches the Rfam family "Bacterial large subunit ribosomal RNA", at positions 3 to 2009 of the family's 2925-position model. The record is from RNAcentral.
UCAAGUGACUAAGCGUACACGGUGGAUGCCUUGGCAGUCAGAGGCGAUGAAGACGUGGUAGCCUGCGAUAAGCUUCGGGAGCUGGCAAACGACUUGAUCCGGAGAUUUCGAAUGGGAAACCCACCUGCUUAGGUAUCGUUACUGAAUACAUAGUGUAACGAGGCGAACGCGGGAACUGAAACAUCUAAGUACCCGAGGAAAAGAAAUCAACCGAGAUUCCUCAGUAGCGGCGAGCGAACGGAUUAGCCCUUAAGCUGGACAUGUGUUAGGAGAAGGCUCUGGAAAGUGCCGCCAUAGUGGGUGAUAGCCCCGUAUCCGAAAACUGAUCAGUGAAAUCGAGUAGGUCGGACACGUGAAACUUGACUGAAUAUGGGGACCAUCCUCAAGGCUAAAUACUCCUGAGAGACCGAUAGUGAACCAGUACCGUGAGGGAAAGGUGAAAAGAACCCUGAAUAAGGGAGUGAAAUAGAACCUGAAACCGUGUACGUACAAGCAGUCGGAGCCCACUUGUUGGGUGACGGCGUACCUUUGUAUAAUGGGUCAGCGACUUAUAUUUUGUAGCGAGGUUAACCGAUUAGGGAGCCGUAGGAAACCGAGUUUAAUAGGGCGAAUAGUUGCUGGUAUAGACCCGAAACCCGGCGAUCUACCCAUGGGCAGGUUGAAGAUGAGUAACAUCACUGGAGGACCGAACCACUACCGUUGAAAAGUUAGGGGAUGACUUGUGGGUCGGAGUGAAAGGCUAAUCAAGCCGGGAGAUAGCUGGUUCUCCCCGAAAUCUAUUUAGGUAGAGCCUCGGACGAAUACCACGGGGUAGAGCACUGUUUCGGCUAGGGGUCAUCCCGACUUACCAACCCGAUGCAAACUCCGAAUACCGUGAGUACUAUCCGGGAGACACACGGCGGGUGCUAACGUCCGUCGUGAAGAGGGAAACAACCCAGACCGCCAGCUAAGGUCCCAAAGUCCUAGUUAAGUGGGAAACGAUGUGGAAAGGCCCAGACAGCCAGGAGGUUGGCUUAGAAGCAGCCAUCCUUUAAAGAAAGCGUAAUAGCUCACUGGUCGAGUCGGUCUGCGCGGAAGAUGUAACGGGGCUAAACUAUGCACCGAAGCUGCGGAUUCAAAAUUUAUUUUGAGUGGUAGGGGAGCGUUCUGUAAGCGGUUGAAGGUGUGCCGGGAGGCAUGCUGGACGUAUCAGAAGUGCGAAUGCUGACAUGAGUAACGAUAAUGCGGGUGAAAAACCCGCACGCCGGAAGACCAAGGGUUCCUAUCCCAUGUUAAUCAGGGUAGGGUAAGUCGACCCCUAAGGCGAGGCCGAAAGGCGUAGUCGAUGGGAAACGGAUUAAUAUUUCCGUACUUGGUAUAAUUGCGAUGGGGGGACGGAGCAGGCUAAGCAAGCAUGGCGAUGGUAGUCCAUGUGAAAGUGUGUAGGCUAGUGACUUAGGUAAAUCCGGGUUGCUGUUAGGCUGAGACACGAGACGAGCACCCAAGGGUGUGAAGUUGCUGAUGCCAUACUUCCAGGAAAAGCCUCUAAGCUUCAGAUUAUACCGAAUCGUACCCCAAACCGACACAGGUGGUCAGGUAGAGAAUACUAAGGCGCUUGAGAGAACUCGGGUGAAGGAACUAGGCAAAAUCGUACCGUAACUUCGGGAGAAGGUACGCUCCGAUUGGUGAUGGGACUUGCUCCCUAAGCUGAUUGGAGCCGCAGUGACCAGGUGGCUGGGACUGUUUAUUAAAAACACAGCACUGUGCAAAAUCGCAAGAUGACGUAUACGGUGUGACACCUGCCCGGUGCCGGAAGGUUAAUUGAUGGGGUUAUCUUCGGAGAAGCUCUUGAUCGAAGCCCCGGUAAACGGCGGCCGUAACUAUAACGGUCCUAAGGUAGCGAAAUUCCUUGUCGGGUAAGUUCCGACCUGCACGAAUGGCGUAAUGAUG